UGGGCUAGAAUGCGAGUGACGUCCUGUGAAAGCAGGAUUCCCUUCGGGGCACAAAGCAAGGUGCUGCAUGGCUGUCGUCAGCUCGUGCCGUGAGGUGUUGGGUUAAGUCCCGCAACGAGCGCAACCCUUGUCCUUAGUUGCCAUCAUUAAGUUGGGAACUCUAAGGAGACCGCCGGUGACAAACCGGAGGAAGGUGGGGAUGACGUUG
This 208-nucleotide unclassified non-coding RNA is filed under the name uncultured Bacteroidia bacterium. RNAcentral's name for it is "contains 16S-23S intergenic spacer region". It matches the Rfam family "Bacterial small subunit ribosomal RNA", at positions 976 to 1187 of the family's 1533-position model. The record is from RNAcentral. Lineage: Bacteria; Pseudomonadati; Bacteroidota; Bacteroidia.